RNAcentral lists this Y RNA (102 nucleotides) under Microcebus murinus (gray mouse lemur). Its description in RNAcentral is "Y RNA (ENSMICG00000042841.1)". It matches the Rfam family "Y RNA". Rfam says of the family: Y RNAs are components of the Ro ribonucleoprotein particle (Ro RNP), in association with Ro60 and La proteins. The Y RNAs and Ro60 and La proteins are well conserved, but the function of the Ro RNP is not known. Lineage: Eukaryota; Metazoa; Chordata; Mammalia; Primates; Cheirogaleidae. The record is from Rfam by way of RNAcentral.
GUCUGGUCCUGCUGCAGUGAUAUUCACAAAUAAUUGAUCACAACCAGUUACAGAUUUCUUUGUUCCUUUUCCACUCCCACUGCUUCACUUGACUAGCCCUAA